Molecule: non-coding RNA, 94 nt
Organism: Mycena haematopus
Lineage: Eukaryota; Fungi; Basidiomycota; Agaricomycetes; Agaricales; Mycenaceae
Source: the annotation of a GenBank genome assembly
GGCCCAGAGGUGCAUGGUGCGCACCCACUAUCUAUUUCCAUUGUCAUAAGUUAGUUCUUGUGGGAGGUUGCUCGUUCAACUCGAGCCUGGGCCA